GGAUCUCUUGGUUCUGGCAUCGAUGAAGAACGCAGCGAAAUGCGAUAAGUAAUGUGAAUUGCAGAAUUCAGUGAAUCAUCGAAUCUUUGAACGCACAUUGCGCCCCUUGGUAUUCCGAGGGGCAUGCCUGUUCGAGCGUCAUUUCACCAAUCAAGCCCCGCUUGGUAUUAGGCGUCCGGCCCGCGCUUCGGCCGCGGGCCCGCCCGAAAUGCAUCGGCGAGGACAUCGACCCCCGGCGUGUUGAGAAUUCACGUUCGACGUCGGGAGCACCGGUGCGCCUCCGCCGCGGAAGCCUUUCCGGAAAAAAUAAUUUUUCAAAGGUUGACCUCGGAUCAGGUAGGAAUACCCGCUGAACUUAAGCAUAUCAAUAAGCGGAGGA
RNAcentral lists this ribosomal RNA (379 nucleotides) under uncultured fungus. RNAcentral describes it as "eukaryotic LSU rRNA". The stretch from base 1 to 141 matches the Rfam family "5.8S ribosomal RNA". The record is from RNAcentral. Lineage: Eukaryota; Fungi.